Long non-coding RNA from Pteropus alecto (black flying fox), 710 nucleotides. RefSeq lists it as uncharacterized. The transcript is spliced from 2 exons. NCBI's taxonomy places the organism in Eukaryota, Metazoa, Chordata, Mammalia, Chiroptera, Pteropodidae. The record is from RefSeq and is a predicted model, not a curated record.
GGCCGCCGACUUCCUGAGCCCCCUAGGCCGCCGCGGACCCCCCGCCCCGGCGGAGCGCCCCAUCCCCGGGGGCCCGCAGGGACACUGAGGCAGGGAGGGCAGGGGCUCCACUCGCCUGCUCCCUGCUGGGAGCCCCCAGGUGGCUCUCUCACCCUUUCUGGGUCUCAGUUUCCCCUUCUGCCCAGAUGAUGGAAGAGGGGAAAUUGUUGGGUGGAACCCCCCAGUUCCCUCGAGGCACGAAUGAGGACCCCUCUCUUCCACUUAGAAGCGCUUCCCAGUCUAGCCCCACUCCCGGGAAAUCCCACAGCUGCGUGAGGGACACGGGAACCAGGCGCUCGGAGGAGGCGGGGGCCAUUGGAGCUGGGGCUUCGAUGGCUGAGUAGGAGUCUGCCAGUCCGAAAGGGAUGAGUAUUCCCCGCGGAACAAAAGGUGCAAACACCUGGAGGGACCGUCUGGUUGAGAGCCUGCAGAGAUCAGUCAGGUGAGUUCUUUGAGGAUGCUUGAGCGACGGAACUGGGCUGGCCGUGAGCAGGAAAGAGGCCGGAUUUCCAAGACGUGGUACAGAAAAAGAUGUCAAAUACGCCUUCCGUCACUUUUCACAUCGAUCACCUGUUGAAACGGCCGUAUUUUUGAGAUACUGAGUUACGGGAAACCUGUUAGCAAAACUGUUCUCUUUUGGUUCUUUUAAUGUGGCUACUGGGAAGCUGAAA